This 2667-nucleotide long non-coding RNA is filed under the name Taeniopygia guttata (zebra finch). Its description in RNAcentral is "lncRNA (ENSTGUG00000022767.1)". Lineage: Eukaryota; Metazoa; Chordata; Aves; Passeriformes; Estrildidae. The record is from RNAcentral.
AUUUAUUUAUGUGGCUAAUAACGCUCACAUUCUCGCUGAUAUUUGUCUAGGCGAAGGACCAGCUGCGAAAUGCCCCGCAGCUGUAGCCAGAGCUAGAACAGAGUGCCUUGGAACCAGAAAUCAAUGCUCCUGAAAUGAACAAGUGGACAACUUAUUAGGCUCAGUCACUCCACACGCCGUCCCCUGAUAACGAAUAGAUGAAGUAGACGCUGGAGAAGGGACACGCCGGGAAAGGCUACACAUGCCUGUUCCUUGCCGGAGUGGCCGGGUAACAACACCGCGGGGCACAGCCAGCCGCACAGACACCCCCGGGCAGGGCAAGGGGCCGUGACAUGGCCCUUGCGGGCUGCCUAGGGUUAGAUGGCCGAUAAAUGCAGCGAACGCCCGGGAGAACGGCUUCGGGGGUCACUGAUAAAGGUGUCCGGUUUCCCUGCUGCUCCAGAGAGCACAACCGACAGGUUCAGCGAGAUCACGUAGUCGUGGCUUCUCUGCCUAGAAACAGUCACGCUAAUUUUGCAUUUUUACCAUCCACAGGGAGGAAAAAUACCUGUCGUCCCGCAAUGCAAAUCCUUACGCAAAUAGAUCUGCGGGUGCACAGGGAGCUGCUGGCAGCCUGACCUGCCAGCCGAGAGUCACUGGCCCCGAGUUUAGAGGUGCCGGCCAGCAGCGGCACGCCCCGAAAGCACAUGGGAUCUUGAAGUCCCUCGGAACUUGCCGCUGCCUCAGAAAAGUCCGAGAAAGAGUCUGCGGUUAAUCUCCGAGGCCUUCAUACAUCCCUCACGAGCUGCGCCCCAGCGCUAAGUGCAAUUAACAUAACAGACACUAAAAUAGGAGAGCGGCGCUGAAUUUAAUUUGCAGGCUUAGGGAAAAAAAAAAAAAAAAAAAAAAAGGAAAAAGAAAAAAAACUUAGCACUUAGAGCGGUCUAGUGAUGAACGCAAGAAGUGAUAUGGAAGGCGACAGAGUAGCCCUCCUGCCUCGGAGCGGGGCCGCGGCCAGUUCCAUGGACCCUCUCUGGGAGCCGGGAGCAGCUUGGUGCGCGCAGGUUUCUAGACAGGUAAACUCCUCCGACGGAGAUGCGUCCCGCUGCAUGGCUCCAGCACGGCGAGCGCUCCCGUGGCCACCAGGUCAACCGCAGCGCAACCGGGUCGCCAGCGCGGGCAGGCACCUCCCUGAGCCUCCCUGCUGCCCGCCCCGACACCCACGCACCCAGAUCCGGCUCGCUUUCCUGCCCCCGGGUAGAGGGAGGACAUGGAUGGGGGGCAGAAGCGACGGGAUAACCCCCUCCCCGCUUUUCUUUCACCCCCUCCCCCCGGCCUCCUGCAAACUGCCGCUGAAGUUCACAAAAGAGCGAGACAUAAAGAGAUCGAGGUUUCCGAGAAAAGGGAGAGGCGAAAAUAGCGAGCGGAAAACGUGCGAUUAGCAGGCAGACGGGCGGAGACUAGCAGCCCUGCGCGCACACACAGCCCGCAGCUCUGUCUCCGCGCCGUGUAAUCCCAGCGCUCAGCCCUUCUGCACCCCCUCAUUAAAAACCCGGAGAUUUCCUCCUCCUCCUCCGCUCUCCGAGGAAAACAACGCCUGCCACCGCCUGAACCCUGGCAGCGCCGCCCGCCCCGCACCGUCCGCCCGGAGCCGCCCAGGGGCCCCGCGCUCCCCGGCGCCCUGCACGGCGAGCUGCGCGGUCCCCGUCACCCGGCCCCGGCUUCCUCUCGGGAGGCUGAUUCUCGCCCUCCCGUCGCAAAGGGCCGCCCCCGAUGGGACGCACAGCGGGGGCUGGGGGUGGGGAAAGCUGGCUACAGUCCCCUCUACCCCCCGUUUCCGUCCCCAGGGGCUGCUGCUCCCCCGCUGCCAGGGCGGCUGCUUGUUCCCCCCCACCCCCCACUCCCUUUAUCCAUCCCGAGGGCGAGGGUGGGGUGCGCCGAGCCGGAGCUCCCCGCACUGGGGCCGGCGGCGGGGAGCAGCGCCGAGAUCGCCCGGGAGCCGGCGAUCCCGCGGUGGAGCCGGGCACCGCCGCCCACGGCCCCAUGAACAGCGCUUUAUUCCGCAGCGCUCAAACCCCUCAUUGUGUUUGGCAGAAUCACCUGCCUCCUCCGGAGCCGAGCGAUUAAUUUAAUGCGAUACAGAGUGCGCUCCCUCCCGGCCCCUCCUCAGCGGGGAGAUCUCCGCUGGGCGCUCCGCGCCGCGGAGGAGGGGCACGGCACAGCACGGCGGGGCACGGCACGGCACGGCGGGGCACGGCACGGCACGGCAAAGCGGGCUGGCAUCCUCCGAGCACCGGCUCUCCCGGCGGCGCCCGGGGAAACAUUCCCCGCCCGGUAGCGGCGGAGCGUCAGCUCCGAUCGGAGUCGCACACAAGCAUCCGCCGCGCAGACCUGCUCGGUGCCCGGGGGGGCUGCGAGGCGGGCGGGGGCCGAGCCGUGCCUGGCCAGGGGAUUUGAUGGGUCGUUGGCUGCGCCUGGGGAAAGGCGGGCGGAGGGGGGGCGGUUGGCUGCGCCUAGCGAUGGGGGAUUUGAGAGGAAAGGGGAGGGGGGCUGAGCUCGGUGGAGGGGGUGCCGACUGCCGCGACUGCUGGGGACGGCGGCUGUUAUUAUUGUUAUUACUGUUAUUGUUAUUUUUAGGGGGCGGUGGUGGUGGGAGCGAGGGGGGCUGGGGCGGUCCGCGCUCGGCGG